Molecule: ribosomal RNA, 497 nt
Filed under: uncultured bacterium
Lineage: Bacteria
Description: partial 16S ribosomal RNA
Rfam family: Bacterial small subunit ribosomal RNA
Source: RNAcentral
GAUGAACGCUGGCGGCGUGCCUAAUACAUGCAAGUCGAGCGAACAGAUAAGGAGCUUGCUCCUUUGACGUUAGCGGCGGACGGGUGAGUAACACGUGGGUAACCUACCUAUAAGACUGGGAUAACUUCGGGAAACCGGAGCUAAUACCGGAUAACAUUUGGAACCGCAUGGUUCUAAAGUGAAAGAUGGUUUUGCUAUCACUUAUAGAUGGACCCGCGCCGUAUUAGCUAGUUGGUAAGGUAACGGCUUACCAAGGCAACGAUACGUAGCCGACCUGAGAGGGUGAUCGGCCACACUGGAACUGAGACACGGUCCAGACUCCUACGGGAGGCAGCAGUAGGGAAUCUUCCGCAAUGGGCGAAAGCCUGACGGAGCAACGCCGCGUGAGUGAUGAAGGGUUUCGGCUCGUAAAACUCUGUUAUUAGGGAAGAACAAACGUGUAAGUAACUGUGCACGUCUUGACGGUGCCUAAUCAGAAAGCCACGGCUAACUACGUG